RNAcentral lists this ribosomal RNA (466 nucleotides) under uncultured bacterium. RNAcentral describes it as "partial 16S ribosomal RNA". It matches the Rfam family "Bacterial small subunit ribosomal RNA", at positions 28 to 507 of the family's 1533-position model. The record is from RNAcentral.
GAUGAACGCUGGCGGCGUGCUUAACACAUGCAAGUCGAACGGAAAGGCCCAAGCUUGCUUGGGUACUCGAGUGGCGAACGGGUGAGUAACACGUGGGUGAUCUGCCCUGCACUUCGGGAUAAGCCUGGGAAACUGGGUCUAAUACCGGAUAGGACCACUCUUGGGCUGUUUGGUGGAAAGUUUUUUUGGGUGGGGAUGAGGCUGCGGCCUAUCAGCUUGUUGGUGGGGGAAUGGCCUACCAAGGCGUCGGCGGGUAGCCGGCCUGAGGGGGUGUACGGCCACAUUGGGACUGAGAUACGGCCCAGACUCCUACGGGAGGCAGGAGUGGGGAAUAUUGCACAAUGGGCGCAAGCCUGAUGCAGCGACGCCGCGUGGGGGAUGACGGCCUUCGGGUUGUAAACUCCUUUCGCUAGGGACGAAGCGUUUUGUGACGGUACCUGGAGAAGAAGCACCGGCUAACUACGUG